UAUUUUACUUUACAUUGUUUGCUACUCAGU
Molecule: non-coding RNA, 30 nt
Filed under: Rattus norvegicus (Norway rat)
Lineage: Eukaryota; Metazoa; Chordata; Mammalia; Rodentia; Muridae
Source: RNAcentral